RNAcentral lists this long non-coding RNA (3363 nucleotides) under Salvia miltiorrhiza (redroot sage). RNAcentral's name for it is "long non-coding RNA (SMIL_LNC004884)". Lineage: Eukaryota; Viridiplantae; Streptophyta; Magnoliopsida; Lamiales; Lamiaceae. The record is from RNAcentral.
AGAUUUCCACCAACUGCACUCGGAUUCCAGUCGCCACCGCCGCCUUCACCGCGCCGGCCACCUCCCUUCCCCCGCAAGCCCUCCGAUCUGCAUCGCCGCCUCUUUCUUUCUUCAAUCGGCGGCUCCACCCCCCACCGCUCUCUCCGCCGCUCCCGCAGCCUCUGCCGCUUCUCCCGCCCCAUUGUCGCCAGAGCCGNCUGCGCUCGGAUUCCAGUCGCCACCGCCGCCUUCACCGCGCCGGCCACCUCCCUUCCCCCGCAAGCCCUCCGAUCUGCAUCGCCGCCUCUUCUUCUUCAAUCGGCGGCUCACCCCCACCGCUCUCUCCGCCGCUCCCGCAGCCUCAGCUGCUUCUCCGCCCCAUUGCACCGGAGCCGGAGGCCGAGAUGGACUACAUCAAAAACGUGCCCAGGGGAAAAUUCGUCAACACCACGAGGGGCUCGACCUCGCUGGCACCAACCGCGAAUUGCCGAGCCCCUAGAUCCCCAAAGUCUUACUGCCUCUUUGUGAUUUUCGGCGACCACGACAGCCAUGUCCGCCGAUUUGCUACCUCCCUUCCCCAUAUGGUAAGUAUUAAAUGUUUGACUAUUUUAAAUAUAGAAUGAUUAUUAUUUUAGAAAGAACAAAUUUUGGAAAGAUUUUUAACAAUGGAAACAUAAACCCUAGAUUUUUAUGUUAAUUAAUUUUCGGUAGCUGCAAAUUAUGUAAAUAUAGAAUGGCAAUAAACUUUAGAAAGAAUUUUUUUUUGGAAACAAUUUUAUCAAAGGAAACUUAAACCCUAGAUUUUCAUCUAUAAAUUCAUUAGUUUGAAUUAUUAAAGAUGCAGCAGACGCAAGGUAACUUCUUCUUCUUCUUUUGUUGUCUUUCUUUUCUUUUGCAUUAACGCGGCAAUACCUCCUUCUUCUUUUUCUUCUUUUUUCCAGAUUUUUGGUUUAGAGGAUUAAGGGAUUGCUUACUUCCCUGUUUUCGGCGGGUGGUGGCAGGAAAUUUUUGUUAGGUAAUAGAUAUAUAUUUGUACUGUAGAAACUUUUAUAACAUAAAUUAAUGAGUUCGAUUCUAUUGAUGGACGCUGCUUGCUUUUUUUUUCCUAUGUUUCUUUAUGAAAUUCUUAGAGGCUCUUAUUGUUCUCUGUCACUGCAAUGCAAUCUUGAUGAGGGUUUGACAUGAAAUCUAAUGUUUGUAUCUAAUUCUUGAAAUCAUGAAAGCUUCCAAAAAGUGGGACCUAAUGAAGCCUUCUGGAUAUGAAAUUUUUAGGAUAUAGUAUCUAGCUCAUAUUUCUUGGAUGUUUUACUUAAUAAACUAAAUCAUCUACGUGAGCUAUGUUCUGUAAGUAAUCAAUAUGUGAAUUGUGCUGCUGCCUGCAGUUUGAUAGUAUACUUGCUUCGUCUUCAUUAUUUUUCCUGAUUUGGGAAGGUCUUUGUGAUUGUACUUUUUGAAUUUUAUAUGUUACUUAUAACGGCUUUUUGAAUUAAUCUACAUGAAUAUUUGAUUUUUCAAAUUUUUGAUUUAGAUUUUGUUAAUUAACUCUAUGUGAUUGCUUUACUUCCCUGUUUUGGUUUAGAUUUUUGGCUAGAAGUAAGCGAUUGCUUUACUUCUCUGUUUUGCCGUGGCUGAGAUCUCUGAGCACAUCACCAACAAGGUCUCCGAGCACUACAUGAAAAGGUAAAUGCUUGCUGCCACAAUAAUGUUCCUUUGACUAAUAGUGUUUUUAGUUCACUAGCGGGCUGGCUAAUUGAGUGUUCUUUCAUACUUUGCACCUAAUUAUGUGAUUUGUGAAAAUUUCUCAAUCUUUUGUGACAAUUGCACUAUGAAUGGUGACAAUAGCGAAUGAUUUAAAAUGAUGUUUCCACGCAUAUUUAUGUGGAGUAGUGAUUUGAGGAAUAUAUUAUAUCUUUAUAUGCUAUAAUUCAUGAGUUUAUUUGUAUGGUGAUGCUAAUAUGUAGUAAGGUGAUGUAUUUGAGCUCUACAUCUCUUUAUUUAGCCAAGCUAUGAGUUUUGUUUAGUUGAAGCAAGACAUGCCCUGCUGUCAAUUCUUGGCUGGACUGGACAGAGUGUUGCGGGAUACUUUUGGGGGUGUUCCCGUGGUUCAAAUCAGUUGAAAUUUUUACAGUAAUAACUUCAUUACGAGUAGUAAAUAUCUGCAAAAUUUCAGCUAAAUCCGAGACCCUUAGAUAUGUCAAAUAAUUUUCUGAAAAGUACUGCACGAAGCAACGAAGUUCAGUGGCAGAUUCUGCCUUUUGUGAUAUAAUUUCCUAUACACUUGAUAUAUGGUAUUUUUGUAACUUUCUACUAAAGAUAGACUUUAAUAGCUUUCUAAAAAGGUAAAUCUUGCAUUUUUCUUUGAAGUAAUUGAUUUUAUAUGAUUUUUCAAAGUUAGAAUUCAAAUGUAUAUGGUUCUUAAACUUGCGAGUGAUAAUUAGUUGAAAUUCUAAACUACUAAACUUGGAUUGAGUGUUUAUUUUCUUUUAACUUUUAUUUUAUUCUCACUUUAUUGUGCAUUAGAUUCUUUUGGAAUUAAUCGAGUGAGAUAUAAUGCAAUGUUUUGGUUUUCUGAACCUCUUGGAUUUUUUUUUGUUAGAUAACCAGCAGCCAUAUUUAGAGUACAAGGGGAUCAUAAGGUGGAGACUUUCUAUCUAAUUGCUGAAAAUUAGAUUUAAGUGAAACGAGUUCUCAAUUUCGCAUGUAAUGAAAUGCAAUUGUAGUAGGUUUUGUACUCUAAUUUUGGUUUAUAAAUCAACUUUUCUAAUUUUAGUGAUUUGGAAUACUUCCUUUUGAUUUACCUAUAUCUCUUUGUCUUAUUGUUAUUUCAGAAGGAGCUAUGUGUAUGACCCGGAAUGGAACAACUUUGCCUAAUAAGGAAUCUUUUGUAUGGGUUUAUUAGGCUUUUUCAACAUCAUUCAAAACCCCAUACAGUGUUAGCCGGACAACUGGAGGAGUCUCACAUUUGUUUGCAAACGCUGCAAACAAAUGAAUCAUUUCUCUGUCUUUCUUAAUUUUGUUAACUUUUGAUUUUGUCAACUCAAAACUAUAAUUUGCAAUACAUAAUUUAUAAUCACAUAUGGGGUGACAGGAAGGCACGAGCUAACAUGUGACUUCAAAGAAUUCAUAUUCGAACUCUUAGUAGCAUGGAUUAUUACGUUUAGCAUUAUUUAGACAAUAUUAUUUUAUAAAAUAUUUUUAUAAUUUGUUUGAAUAAAAAUUAUUAUCUAUCAUUGUUUGACAUAUAAUAUAGACAUUUUCUAUUAUAAGUUUGACCUCUCAUAUUAACACUUAUUUUUUUGAAAAAUAUCUAUAAUUUAUAUAUAUAUUAUAUGAAAUAAUUUUACGUUCUUUUUUUCUUAUAAAUUAUAACAUUAAAUGAUUUUC